This 331-nucleotide ribosomal RNA is filed under the name uncultured bacterium. RNAcentral's name for it is "bacterial SSU rRNA". It matches the Rfam family "Bacterial small subunit ribosomal RNA", at positions 568 to 898 of the family's 1533-position model. The record is from RNAcentral.
CGCGUAGGUGGUUGCGUAAGUCGGAUGUGAAAUCCCCAGGCUUAACCUGGGAACUGCACCCGAUACUGCGUGACUCGAGUGCAGCAGAGGGAAACGGAAUUCCUGGUGUAGAGGUGAAAUUCGUAGAUAUCAGGAGGAACACCGGUGGCGAAGGCGGUUUCCUGGGCUGACACUGACACUGAGGCGCGAAAGCGUGGGUAGCAAACAGGAUUAGAUACCCUGGUAGUCCACGCUGUAAACGGUGAGUGCUGGGUGUGGGAGGUGUAAUGCCUUCUGUGCCGAAGCUAACGCGUUAAGCACUCCGCCUGGGGAGUACGGCCGCAAGGUUGAA